UGCUUACACAAGGGCAUCAACUCCCUGGUCGCCAUCACCUCCUGGGCCAUAUGGAAGCAUCGCAACGCCGUCCUCUUCGACAAGUCUCCCAACCUCCACACCAUCCUCGACGAUAUCAAGCAGGAGGCGAAACUAUGGGCCAGAGCCGGCGCAAAAGGGCUCGGCCGGAUUGUUCCUAUAACAUAA
This 186-nucleotide ribosomal RNA is filed under the name Triticum aestivum (bread wheat). Its description in RNAcentral is "partial small subunit ribosomal RNA". Lineage: Eukaryota; Viridiplantae; Streptophyta; Magnoliopsida; Poales; Poaceae. The record is from RNAcentral.